Molecule: ribosomal RNA, 1100 nt
Filed under: uncultured Basidiomycota
Lineage: Eukaryota; Fungi; Basidiomycota
Description: eukaryotic LSU rRNA
Rfam family: Eukaryotic large subunit ribosomal RNA (bases 664-1100)
Source: RNAcentral
CUUGGUCAUUUAGAGGAAGUAAAAGUCGUAACAAGGUUUCCGUAGGUGAACCUGCGGAAGGAUCAUUAUUGAAUAAACUUGGUCGGGUUGCUGCUGGCCUCUCGGGGCAUGUGCACGCCUGCCGCCAUUUUUAACCACCUGUGCACCCUUUGUAGACCUGGAUACCUCUCGAGGAAACUCGGUUUGAGGACUGCUGCGCGAAAGCCUGGCUUUCCUUGCAUUUCCGGUCUAUGUCUUUAUAUAACCCCAUACGAAUGUAACAGAAUGUCAUUAAUGGCCUUUGCGCCUUUAAAUCAAAUACMACYUUCAACAACGGAUCUCUUGGCUCUCGCAUCGAUGAAGAACGCAGCGAAAUGCGAUAAGUAAUGUGAAUUGCAGAAUUCAGUGAAUCAUCGAAUCUUUGAACGCACCUUGCGCUCCUUGGUAUUCCGAGGAGCAUGCCUGUUUGAGUGUCAUUAAAUUCUCAACCUUUCCAGCUUUUAACGGCGGGACAAGGCUUGGAUGUGGGGGCUGCGGGCUUCUCAGAAGUCGGCUCUCCUUAAAUGUAUUAGCGAAACCUUUGCUGACCAUCUUUGGUGUGAUAAUUAUCUACGCCACUGGGAAGCAGCUUUAACAUGGGGUUUGGCUUCUAAUCGUCCGUCACUGGACAACUUUUUGACAUUUUGACCUCAAAUCAGGUAGGACUACCCGCUGAACUUAAGCAUAUCAAUAAGCGGAGGAAAAGAAACUAACAAGGAUUCCCCUAGUAACUGCGAGUGAAGCGGGAAAAGCUCAAAUUUAAAAUCUGGUGGUCCUUGUGGCCGUCCGAGUUGUAAUCUAGAGAAGCGUUAUCCGCGCCGGACCGUGUACAAGUCUCCUGGAACGGAGCGUCAUAGAGGGUGAGAAUCCCGUCUUUGACACGGACUACCGGGGCUUUGUGAUGCGCUCUCAAAGAGUCGAGUUGUUUGGGAAUGCAGCUCUAAAUGGGUGGUAAAUUCCAUCUAAAGCUAAAUAUUGGCGAGAGACCGAUAGCGAACAAGUACCGUGAGGGAAAGAUGAAAAGAACUUUGGNNAGAGAGUUAAACAGUCCNUUAAAGGGUUGAAAGGGAAACGCUUGAAGU